This 83-nucleotide transfer RNA is filed under the name Capsaspora owczarzaki. Its description in RNAcentral is "tRNA-Ser". It matches the Rfam family "tRNA". From Rfam's summary of the family: Transfer RNA (tRNA) molecules are approximately 80 nucleotides in length. The record is from RNAcentral. Lineage: Eukaryota; Filasterea; Ministeriida; Capsasporidae.
GGAAUUAUGACUGAAUGGUUAAGGUGUCAGUUUGCUAAACUGAUGGUUAUUAAACCGUAUAGGUUCAACCCCUAUUGAUUCCA